GCCUGAGAGAGGGAGAGAGCGAGAGAGAGAGAGGCAUAUCUGUGGCCUGAGAGAGAGAGAGAGAGAGAGAGAGAGAGAGAGAGAGAGAGAGAGAGAGAGAGAGAGAGUGAGAAAGAGAGAGAGAGAGAGAGGCAUAUCUGUGGCCUGAGAGAGAGAGAGAGAGAGAGAGAGAGAGAGAGAGAGAGAGAGAGAGAGAGAGGCAUAUCCGUGGCCUGAGAGAGAGAGAGCGAGAGAGAGAGAGAUAUAGAGAGGCAUAUGUGGCCUGAGGGAGAGAGAGACACAGAGGCAUAUCCGUGGCCUGAGAGAGAGAGAGAGAGAGAGAGAGAUAUAGAGAGGCAUAUGUGGCCUGAGGGAGAGAGAGAGAGACAGAGAGAGAGAGAGAGAGAGAGAGAGAGAGAGAGAGGGGGGGGCAUAUCCGUGGCCUGAGAGAGAGAGAGCGAGAGAGAGAGAGAGGCAUAUCCGUGGCCUGAGAGAGAGAGAGAGAGAGAGAGAGAGAGAGAGAGAGAGAGAGAGAGAGAGAGAGGCAUAUCCGUGACCUGAGAGAAAGAGGCAUAUUCGUGGCCUGAGAGAGAGUGAGAGUGAGAGAGAGAGAGAGAGAGAGAGAGAGAGAUGCAUAUCCGUGGCCUGAGAGAGAGUGAGUGAGAGAGAGUGAAAGAGAAAGAGAGAAAGCGAGAGAGGCAUAUCCGUGGCCUGAAUGCCUGCAUAAGGUCAUAAGGGGGUUUAUUUAGCACAGCCUCCUCAAUCAUGGAAUGAUGAACUCUUCCUAUGUGUCAGCAGUAUUGACUUGUUUGCCUAAAUGGAAAACUCCACCCCAAAACUAUCUUUUGGUAUUUGUUUCAUUAGUCCAUUGUUGAUAUUGUCCCAAAACGUUUUGCAUGUCAGCAGUCAAGUUUUCAGAAUUACAGCUAGUAUGAUGCAUUUUGAAUCAUAUGAUGCUGUGUUUUGCAGAAUAUGAUGCAAAAUGCAUCCUACCAGCUGUAUUUCUGUAUUUUGAAAGUUAUAUAUCUUGAAAACUUAAUCGCUAACAAGCAAAACAUUUUGGGACUAUAUCAACAAUGCAGUGCUUAAUUUGUAAAUUGGUAGGUGCCAGAACAGUGUGCCAGAGAGGGGGGUGACUUGCGGGGCUCUGAUGUACCAGAAUACAUGAAAAAAAAUCACCUUUAUAAUAAAUUCCAUGCAGCGUUAUCAUAGCUUUUGCUACUGGCAUAGAGCGGUAGAGAAGAAGCGCUUGCAUAAAUUCUACAUAUGGGGGGGAAAUGGAGCUUAGUGUCCGUGAAAAAUGUGGCCUUUUAUUAAAACAUUGAAUGAAAUUAAUUCUACAUCAUAUUAGAUUAAUGGAGACUUUAGCAUACUAUUUUUAAUACCUCACGAAUGAUCGAAAUGACAGGCUACUUUGACACGGACAAACUGAGAAUCUGAGAUCACUAGAAAUGAGUUUGUCUUGAAUUCAUCAAUAGCCUAGGCCUGUGUGCGCGGGGAGACACAUUGUAUACAAUAUAAGGAGGAAAUUAUAGUCCUAAAAAAGCUUUGCAAUUUCACUGACUCUCCCAAUGGUGCGCUGCUCACUCGCCCGUGAUGGCCGAUGCGCUCGUGCCAAAAAAAGCGUAUCUCUCUCUUGCUUUACUUUGUAAAACAAUGCUGUUGUCUCAAUAGGUCUAUUUGGAAGUUGAUAACAGGUUAGCCUUCUUUUCAGCAGGAUCCAUUUUCUUUCCAACCUGUGUUUUCCCGCGAUUGUAUUUGAAAUAUUGCGAAAUGUCUGUUUUGGCUGGAUGCUGUUUGUUCACUGAAAGAUUUUCCGCGCGUUCCGGACUGUAGGCAUGCCUUGCGGUUCGGCUACACACAAUCCACACCUAGCCAGUAUUUUUUUUAUAAGCUAUUGAUCCUCUGUGGGUGAAUUAUAGUUUUACUCCUGAUGUAGUAUACAGAAUUGUUUCAUUUCUUCCUGAACAGACAGCGGAAAUUCUUCAGCGUUGGCAAAUGUAGGCUAUUUCAAUCUAUCAGUGUUGCUGCGGCACCUCCAGCAACCUUCCUGUGGCUAUGAUUAUAUAAGGAAAUAAAUUAUGAAGUGCAAAGCUGGAGAGAAGAGAGUUGAAGGUUCAUGUCUAUCAGAGUUAGAAAGAGGGAGAGAGAGAUAAUAGAAAGUGAAUCUCAUUUUAGUUAUGUAAAGGAUACAGUCGUGCUUCCUUCUCUCACCACAGCAAUGGUCACGCGUUGGUAUAGGGCACAAUGUUGGGCAAACCAUAAACCCGGGCCAGCCCAACAUGGACACAUUCUUAGAAUAUCAGGCACGUUUUCUCAUUACGUUUUUUUACGGGGCAGGAGAAUUACAGAGGAGUCAAAGUUGAAUUAACUCAGAUUGCUUUUAUUAUAUUUUUUACAUUGUAAACAGUGAAAAUAAUUGUUCAUGACACAAUAUGUACUGGAUCCUGGCAAAUGGGUUCUGGAACGAAAAUGUUAAAAACGGAGAAGUGCCAAACCUGUUCCAACAGGAUCCGGCUCAAAUUAAGCACUGCAGCAAUUGACCAAUGAAACAAAUACCUACAUUUAUUUUCCCAUAAAUACAGUGCAUGUUUGCAAAAUGUAAUGUACCCGGUAGGUGCUUGAGAACCGCAACGUUUUCAGUUACAAUCUGAAGAUAUGCAUAGCAUUGUAACAUAUGUCACUCUCCCGCUUUAAAAUGUGUUUUGUGUUUAUAGGGGGCAAAUGGUCCCUUUUAUUUCCCCUCUAUUUAUUUAUGGUGAAAUUGAAUACUAUUGAAAACUGACCCGAACCAUUUCUCCAUUUGUCUAUUUGGUUGGUUUCAAAGACAACAAGUUCAGAUUCCCCUUUAUGAAAGACACAUAUUCAAGAACAUAUUGAGGGCAAAUUUAGGACAAUAAAAUGAGAAUACUGAAUAGUCGGAUCUAACCCAUCAGCCCUGACAAUUUUAGAAAGUGAUACUCUUGUAUUUUCGAAAUAAAGACCAAAUGAAA
Oncorhynchus tshawytscha (Chinook salmon) is the source of this 2972-nucleotide long non-coding RNA. NCBI's taxonomy places the organism in Eukaryota, Metazoa, Chordata, Actinopteri, Salmoniformes, Salmonidae. The record is from Ensembl.